Molecule: long non-coding RNA, 197 nt
Organism: Chinchilla lanigera (long-tailed chinchilla)
Lineage: Eukaryota; Metazoa; Chordata; Mammalia; Rodentia; Chinchillidae
Exons: 3
Source: RefSeq, a predicted model, not a curated record
CCGGGGCUCGGGAUGGUCGGAGCCGCUUCCGCCCAGGAAAAGGAGGCAGUGCCACCAUCUUUUCGGUCCGGAAGGCAUUCUUCUGUGAACUAUGUCGAUCGAUGAAGUAGAUCUUGUUAUUACGUUUAUUUUAAGGAUGAGGAAAAUGAGACAGAAGAUGGCGCACACCUGUAAUCCCAGCACUUGGGAGACUGAGG